Molecule: unclassified non-coding RNA, 233 nt
Filed under: plant metagenome
Description: partial contains small subunit ribosomal RNA, internal transcribed spacer 1, and 5.8S ribosomal RNA
Source: RNAcentral
UAUCCGUAGGCGAACCUGCGGAAGGAUCAUUAUUGGAUUUUGAAACUUCAGGCUGCUGCUGGCUCUCCUCGGAGGGCAUGUGCACGCUUGUUGUCCAUUAUUUCUCCCACUGUGCACAAAUUGUAGACCUUUCAGUAGGCCUAUGUUGUUUUUCACAAUCUCUGAAUGUAAUAGAAUGGUUUUGAAUCUUGGGAAAUACAAUACAACUUUCAGCAACGGAUCUCUUGGCUCUC